RNAcentral lists this small RNA (77 nucleotides) under Escherichia coli. Its description in RNAcentral is "isrK". It matches the Rfam family "isrK Hfq binding RNA". The record is from RNAcentral. RNAcentral also lists the same sequence under 1 other name. Lineage: Bacteria; Pseudomonadati; Pseudomonadota; Gammaproteobacteria; Enterobacterales; Enterobacteriaceae.
GCACUGGCAAAAUCCAGUGCCGGGAUUGGCGUCCCGAGUUACUAAGUGGCGCAUACCACGCCAGACGUGGUUUUUUU